This 901-nucleotide ribosomal RNA is filed under the name Pseudogymnoascus roseus. RNAcentral's name for it is "LSU rRNA". It matches the Rfam family "Eukaryotic large subunit ribosomal RNA", at positions 38 to 958 of the family's 3401-position model. Lineage: Eukaryota; Fungi; Ascomycota; Leotiomycetes; Thelebolales; Thelebolaceae. The record is from RNAcentral.
GCAUAUCAAUAAGCGGAGGAAAAGAAACCAACAGGGAUUACCUUCAGUAACGGCGAAGUGAAGCGGUAACAGCUCAAAUUUGAAAUCUGGCCUCACGGUCCGAGUUGUAAUUUGUAGAGGAKGCUUCGAGCAUGGUCUGGCCUAAGUUCCUUGGAACAGGACGUCAUAGAGGGUGAGAAUCCCGUAUGCGGCCAGGUGCCUACGCUCAUGUGAAGCUCCUUCGACGAGUCGAGUUGUUUGGGAAUGCAGCUCAAAAUGGGUGGUAAAUUUCAUCUAAAGCUAAAUAUUGGCCAGAGACCGAUAGCGCACAAGUAGAGUGAUCGAAAGAUGAAAAGCACUUUGGAAAGAGAGUUAAACAGUACGUGAAAUUGUUGAAAGGGAAGCGCUUGCAACCAGACUUGCGCGCGGCCGAUCAUCCGGUGUUCUCACCGGUGCACUCGGCCGUGCUCAGGCCAGCAUCGGUUUUGGCGGCUGGAUAAAGGCCCUAGGAAUGUGGCUCCUCUCGGGGAGUGUUAUAGCCUAGGGUGCAAUGCAGCCUGCUGGGACCGAGGACCGCGCUUCGGCUAGGAUGCUGGCGUAAUGGUUGUAAGCGGCCCGUCUUGAAACACGGACCAAGGAGUCUAACAUCUAUGCGAGUGUUUGGGUGUCAAACCCAUACGCGUAAUGAAAGUGAACGGAGGUGAGAACCCUUAAGGGUGCAUCAUCGACCGAUCCUGAUGUCUUCGGAAGGAUUUGAGUAAGAGCAUAGCUGUUGGGACCCGAAAGAUGGUGAACUAUGCCUGAAUAGGGUGAAGCCAGAGGAAACUCUGGUGGAGGCUCGCAGCGGUUCUGACGUGCAAAUCGAUCGUCAAAUUUGGGUAUAGGGGCGAAAGACUAAUCGAACCAUCUAGUAGCUGGUCUG